This is a long non-coding RNA of Bos taurus (domestic cattle), 498 nucleotides long. The record is from Ensembl. Lineage: Eukaryota; Metazoa; Chordata; Mammalia; Artiodactyla; Bovidae.
GGAAGAUAUGCAGAAAAGUGGGCACAUGUGUUCUGAACAGAGGCUUUGAGAAGCAGCUUAUGUUCCUCUCUUUCGCCUGGGUUUGUGCGGUCUUCCGUGAGGACUGGGCCUAGGUUGCCACUGUCUCGUCUGCCUGGGCCCUCAAAUGACAAGCAGGCCUCAGAGAAGGAAGCUGACCUGAAACCCAAGCCCUGCCAAGCCCAGGCAGGCGACAGCUCAUCCACAAAUUCGUGAGUGAGAAAGAAAUGCUUGCUUCUUUAGGCGCCGGAAGGCUGUGUUUUAUGCUUUGUCAUUGCAGCCAAACGUAAAACACCUGCGCGAGGAACAGUGUCCCACCAAGUGCCAGGAGCACUCUCCCCUUGCUGCUCUGAAAACGCUGGACAUGGUACAUGAACAGGAAGCAGACUUAAUCCAGGACGAUGCGGAGGACAGGGUUGACACUAAAUGGAUAAGGACAUCUCAGUGGAAUUCUUCGCUCCAUCACAUUAAUAUCUCUAC